CUACGGGGCGCAGCAGUGGGGAAUAUUGCACAAUGGGGGGAACCCUGAUGCAGCAACGCCGCGUGGAGGAUGACGCAUUUCGGUGUGUAAACUCCUUUUAUAUGUCAAGAAAAUGACGGUAGCAUAUGAAUAAGCACCGGCUAACUCCGUGCCAGCAGCCGCGGUAAUACGGAGGGUGCAAGCGUUACUCGGAAUCACUGGGCGUAAAGGACGCGUAGGCGGGUUGGAAAGUCAGGUGUGAAAUCCUACAGCUUAACUGUAGAACUGCACUUGAAACUUCUAAUCUAGAGUUUGGGAGGGGGAGAUGGAAUUAGUGGUGUAGGGGUAAAAUCCGUAGAUAUCACUAGGAAUACCUAAAGCGAAGGCGAUCUCCUGGAACAUUACUGACGCUAAGGCGUGAAAGCGUGGGGAGCAAACAGGAUUAGAUACCCCGGUAGUC
RNAcentral lists this ribosomal RNA (439 nucleotides) under uncultured bacterium. RNAcentral's name for it is "partial 16S ribosomal RNA". It matches the Rfam family "Bacterial small subunit ribosomal RNA", at positions 339 to 795 of the family's 1533-position model. The record is from RNAcentral.